This 65-nucleotide transfer RNA is filed under the name Stenosialis australiensis. RNAcentral describes it as "tRNA-His". Lineage: Eukaryota; Metazoa; Arthropoda; Insecta; Megaloptera; Sialidae. The record is from RNAcentral.
AUUUAAGUAGUUUAUAUAAAAUACUGAUUUGUGGUAUCAGUGAAAUAAUUUAAUUAUCUUAAAUC